This 524-nucleotide ribosomal RNA is filed under the name uncultured bacterium. Its description in RNAcentral is "partial 16S ribosomal RNA". It matches the Rfam family "Bacterial small subunit ribosomal RNA", at positions 28 to 523 of the family's 1533-position model. The record is from RNAcentral.
GACGAACGCUGGCGGCGUGCCUAAUACAUGCAAGUCGAGCGCAGGAAGCCGUCCGAACCCUUCGGGGGGACGACGGUGGAAUGAGCGGCGGACGGGUGAGUAACACGUAAAGAACCUGCCCAUAGGUCUGGGAUAACCACGAGAAAUCGGGGCUAAUACCGGAUGUGUCAUCGGACCGCAUGGUCCGCUGAUGAAAGGCGCUCCGGCGUCGCCCAUGGAUGGCUUUGGGGUGCAUUAGCUAGUUGGGGGGGUAACGGCCCACCAAGGCGACGAUGCAUAGCCGACCUGAGAGGGUGAUCGGCCACACUGGGACUGAGACACGGCCCAGACUCCUACGGGAGGCAGCAGUAGGGAAUCUUCCACAAUGGACGAAAGUCUGAUGGAGCAACGCCGCGUGAACGAUGAAGGCUUUCGGGUCGUAAAGUUCUGUUGUAAGGGAAGAACAAGUGCCGCAGGAAAUGGCGGCACCUUGACGGUACCUUGCGAGAAAGCCACGGCUAACUACGUGCCAGCCGCCGCGGUAA